UCUGUCGAUUAUCCCUCCCUGAGUCCGAAACAAAAGUCAAUGAACCUGAAGACAAAGGGAAAGGUCUCCAUGAAAACCUCUAUCACGCCAACCAUAAAGAAAGCAGCCUUCAUCGAGCGCAGACAAUCCUCACCGGCAUGGUCAUAGGGCUCAAUGCAAGUGAAGUUUCUGUCCAGUGGGUGAAGAAUGCCCUCCUUGAAGGUCACCAUGUGAAUCCCCGAGUCUUGAAGGGCAGCAUCAAGGAUUCCCUCUUGGCCUUCAGCCAGGUGGUAGUCCCCUACUCUGACUGGAACAACGGCACUUCAUACUCCUGUAUGUUUACCCGCACAGCAGGCACCGUGGAGCCCACCCAGAGGCCUGAGGAAAAAUCCCAGGGUGAAAAGUGAUGCAAACCCCUUUCUCAACCUAUCCCAAUUUUCCCUCCCCAGCCUAUUCCAGAUUCAAUAAUUUCCAUGUAUCCAUGUUUGGCCUAAGGCUAAAUAAAAGUGAGCAAACUC
Podarcis raffonei (Aeolian wall lizard) is the source of this 497-nucleotide long non-coding RNA. RefSeq lists it as uncharacterized. The transcript is spliced from 2 exons. NCBI's taxonomy places the organism in Eukaryota, Metazoa, Chordata, Lepidosauria, Squamata, Lacertidae. The record is from RefSeq and is a predicted model, not a curated record.